UGAAAUAACCCAUUAAAGCACAGAAAAGCAGAGACUACCUCUCGUACCUUUUGCAUCAUGAUUCAGCAAGUUAACUCAAGCAAAGAGCACUCUAGUUUGCACCCCCGAAACUUGACGAGCUACUCCGAGACAGCCAUCUAUGGGCCAACCCGUCUCUGUGGCAAAAGAGUGGGAAGAUCUCCGAGUAGAGGCAAAAAACCUACCGAGUCAAGUUAUAGCUGGUUGCCCAAUAAAUGAAUACAAGUUCAGCCCUGCCUAGCCCAACUCACACCAGUUUUACGAAAAAAGACAAAGAGCUAACCCGCAGGAGUUAAUCAGAGGAGGUACAGCUCCCCUGAUACAGGAUACAACCUUCUUAGGAGACAAAAGAAUACUGCCAAGCAAGGCCUUAGGUCUCAGUGGGCCUGAAAGCAGCCAUCUGACCUGAAAGCGUUAAAGCUCCGACCAAAAGUAAAGCCUUUUAUUUAAUCUAAAUUUCUGCUCCCCUAAAUCUCAUUGGGCCUCUCCAUGCACUCAUGGAAGAGACUAUGCUGGAACGAGUAACAAGAAGAAUGAACUUCUCCACGCACAAGUGUAUGUCAAAUUGGACUAACCAUCGACAAUCAACGAACCCAACAAAAGAGGGCCCUACACACCCGCCACCUCUGACCAAGAAAACCAUGUUCCCCCAAAUCGUUACCCCGACACAGGAGUGCCAGAAAAAGGAAAGACUUAAAGAAAAAAAAGGAACUCGGCAAACCUAGACCUCGCCUGUUUACCAAAAACAUCGCCUCUUGCAUUCCAAAGUAUAAGAGGUCCCACCUGCCCUGUGACUCUAAGUUUAACGGCCGCGGUAUUCUAACCGUGCGAAGGUAGCGCAAUCAAUUGCCUUUUAAAUGAAGGCCUGUAUGAAUGGUAUAACGAGGGUCUAACUGUCUCUUUUUUCUAGUCAGUUAAACUGAUCUGUCCGUGCAGAAGCGGACAUCCUAAUACAAGACGAGAAGACCCUAUGGAGCUUUAGACACUAGCCAACUGUGAAUAAGCGACUAAACUACACAAGUCUUAAAUACCCACAACCCCUGGUGAUGUAGUCUUAGGUUGGGGCGACCACGGGAGAAAGCAAAGCUCCCAAGCAGACCGGGACAACCCUUAAGCCGAGAGUUGCAACUCUAAGCCGCAAAAAUUUUGACUGAAAUGAUCCGGUUGAAAAACCGAUUAACGAACCAAGUUACCCUAGGGAUAACAGCGCAAUCCCCUCCCAGAGUCCCUAUCGACGAGGGGGUUUACGACCUCGAUGUUGGAUCAGGACAUCCUAAUGGUGCAGCCGCUAUUAA
RNAcentral lists this ribosomal RNA (1313 nucleotides) under Anchoa mitchilli (bay anchovy). Its description in RNAcentral is "partial 16S ribosomal RNA". It matches the Rfam family "Bacterial large subunit ribosomal RNA", at positions 539 to 2568 of the family's 2925-position model. The record is from RNAcentral. Lineage: Eukaryota; Metazoa; Chordata; Actinopteri; Clupeiformes; Engraulidae.